AGCCUGGUGGUGUAUUGGUAACAUGUCCUCUACAAUUGAACGGACAAUGCAGUUUUAGAAGAGGAGCCCUGUUCGAUUCGGGGUCAGGCUA
Mycena galericulata is the source of this 91-nucleotide non-coding RNA. NCBI's taxonomy places the organism in Eukaryota, Fungi, Basidiomycota, Agaricomycetes, Agaricales, Mycenaceae. The record is from the annotation of a GenBank genome assembly.